AGCCUCCUGAUGCUUACUACAGGCUGUGUUCUUACACUGACAGUACAGAAAGAAGAGGCAAUGUAAACCUACCCCAUAUACACCUCAGCCCAGGGCCUGUGCCUGGCCUGUAUUGUGAAUGGGGAGACAUGG
This 132-nucleotide small nucleolar RNA is filed under the name Castor canadensis (American beaver). RNAcentral describes it as "Small nucleolar RNA SNORA51 (ENSCCNG00000010045.1)". It matches the Rfam family "Small nucleolar RNA SNORA51". From Rfam's summary of the family: ACA51 is a member of the H/ACA class of snoRNA that guide the sites of modification of uridines to pseudouridines. Lineage: Eukaryota; Metazoa; Chordata; Mammalia; Rodentia; Castoridae. The record is from Rfam by way of RNAcentral.